Molecule: ribosomal RNA, 496 nt
Filed under: uncultured bacterium
Lineage: Bacteria
Description: partial 16S ribosomal RNA
Rfam family: Bacterial small subunit ribosomal RNA
Source: RNAcentral
AUGAACGCUGGCGGCGUGCCUAAUCCAUGCAAGUCGAGCGAAUAGACGAGGAGCUUGCUCCUCUGGCGUUAGCGGCGGACGGGUGAGUAACACGUGGAUAACCUACCUAUAAGACUGGGAUAACUUCGGGAAACCGGAGCUAAUACCGGAUAAUAUAUUGAACCGCAUGGUUCAAUAGUGAAAGACGGUUUUGCUGUCACUUAUAGAUGGAUCCGCGCCGCAUUAGCUAGGUGGUAAGGUAACGGCUUACCAAGGCAACGAUGCGAAGCCGACCUGAGAGGGUGAUCGGCCACACUGGAACUGAGACACGGUCCAGACUCGUACGGGAGGCAGCAGUAGGGAAUCUUCCGCAAUGGGCGAAAGCCUGACGGAGCAACGCCGCGUGAGUGAUGAAGGUCUUCGGAUCGUAAAACUCUGUUAUUAGGGAAGAACAAAUGUGUAAGUAACUAUGCACGUCUUGACGGUACCUAAUCAGAAAGCCACGGCUAACUACGUG